Molecule: microRNA, 21 nt
Filed under: Plutella xylostella (diamondback moth)
Lineage: Eukaryota; Metazoa; Arthropoda; Insecta; Lepidoptera; Plutellidae
Description: pxy-miR-8534-5p
Source: miRBase by way of RNAcentral
UGACGGCAUCGGCAGCCUAAU